UAUACAAAUCAAAUAAAAUUUUAAAAAAUCCUUUAUUGUCUCUCCCGUAGCGGGCAUUACAACUGACAAUGCCACAAGUAGUCGGCAAUAUGUUGGUUCAGGACGAAUGAAAUCUAACAAAAAGAUUCGACAAGUAGGCCUAGCUAUUAUUAGGUGUUGAUGCCUUCCAACAUGGCCGACCGCUAUGGAUCGUGGGUAAUCUAGAAUGACGCGUAACCCUCUAU
Gigantopelta aegis is the source of this 224-nucleotide long non-coding RNA. RefSeq lists it as uncharacterized. Lineage: Eukaryota; Metazoa; Mollusca; Gastropoda; Neomphalida; Peltospiridae. The transcript has 2 exons. The record is from RefSeq and is a predicted model, not a curated record.